RNAcentral lists this ribosomal RNA (465 nucleotides) under Vreelandella stevensii. RNAcentral describes it as "partial 16S ribosomal RNA". It matches the Rfam family "Bacterial small subunit ribosomal RNA", at positions 338 to 795 of the family's 1533-position model. The record is from RNAcentral. Lineage: Bacteria; Pseudomonadati; Pseudomonadota; Gammaproteobacteria; Oceanospirillales; Halomonadaceae.
CCUACGGGUGGCUGCAGUGGGGAAUAUAGGACAAUGGGGGGAACCCUGAUCCAGCCAUGCCGCGUGUGUGAAGAAGGCCCUCGGGUUGUAAAGCACUUUCAGUGAGGAAGAACGCCUGGUGGUUAAUACCCAUCAGGAAAGACAUCACUCACAGAAGAAGCACCGGCUAACUCCGUGCCAGCAGCCGCGGUAAUACGGAGGGUGCGAGCGUUAAUCGGAAUUACUGGGCGUAAAGCGCGCGUAGGUGGCUUGAUAAGCCGGUUGUGAAAGCCCCGGGCUCAACCUGGGAACGGCAUCCGGAACUGUCAAGCUAGAGUGCAGGAGAGGAAGGUAGAAUUCCCGGUGUAGCGGUGAAAUGCGUAGAGAUCGGGAGGAAUACCAGUGGCGAAGGCGGCCUUCUGGACUGACACUGACACUGAGGUGCGAAAGCGUGGGUAGCAAACAGGAUUAGAUACCCCUGUAGUC